Molecule: microRNA precursor, 107 nt
Organism: Sorghum bicolor (sorghum)
Lineage: Eukaryota; Viridiplantae; Streptophyta; Magnoliopsida; Poales; Poaceae
Rfam family: MIR5565 microRNA precursor family
Source: Rfam
GUUGUCAGAUUCACCUUAAUCCACGUGUGUUGGAGUAGAUUGGGUGGAAUUUAGUUCAAUUUCCACUCCAAUCCACCCAACGCACGUGGAUUGAUGCGAAUCCGAAA